ACGAGGGGGGCAAGCGUUGUUCGGAAUUAUUGGGCGUAAAGGGCGCGUAGGCGGUGCGGUAAGUCACCUGUGAAACCUCUAGGCUCAACCUAGAGCCUGCAGGCGAAACUGCCGUGCUUGAGGGUGGGAGAGGUGCGUGGAAUUCCCGGUGUAGCGGUGAAAUGCGUAGAUAUCUGGAGGAACACCGGUGGCGAAGGCGGCAUCCUGGACCAUUACUGACGCUGAGGAGCGAAAGCCAGGGGAGCAAACGGGA
This 253-nucleotide ribosomal RNA is filed under the name uncultured prokaryote. RNAcentral describes it as "partial 16S ribosomal RNA". It matches the Rfam family "Bacterial small subunit ribosomal RNA", at positions 525 to 777 of the family's 1533-position model. The record is from RNAcentral.